Long non-coding RNA from Phacochoerus africanus (Common warthog), 278 nucleotides. RefSeq lists it as uncharacterized. The record is from RefSeq and is a predicted model, not a curated record. Lineage: Eukaryota; Metazoa; Chordata; Mammalia; Artiodactyla; Suidae. The transcript has 3 exons.
CGUCCUAAUAUACACAGAGAUAGCCAGCUGCGCAUGCGCUACGGGCGCGGACUUUCCUCCGCGCAGGCGCGUCGCAGCGCGAUCCAGGAGUCUGGACGGCGGGCCAGGGCUGAGAAGCUGAGCUCGGUGGCUGCGGCCAUAGGUCCAGUUUGGGCGGGCAGAUGGGAGCCAAGGAGCCAGCCAGCCUGACCCUUAGGAGAAGUCACCCACUUCCAGGAAGCUCUGCCAGCUGGCCACAGCCUCAGGAGUGUUCAACGAGGAGUUCCUGUUGUGGCUCA